Molecule: ribosomal RNA, 253 nt
Filed under: uncultured bacterium
Lineage: Bacteria
Description: partial 16S ribosomal RNA
Rfam family: Bacterial small subunit ribosomal RNA
Source: RNAcentral
UACGGAGGGUGCAAGCGUUAUCCGGAUUCACUGGGUUUAAAGGGUGCGUAGGCGGACAGGUAAGUCAGUGGUGAAAUCUCCGAGCUUAACUCGGAAACUGCCGUUGAUACUAUUUGUCUUGAAUAUUGUGGAGGUAAGCGGAAUAUGUCAUGUAGCGGUGAAAUGCUUAGAUAUGACAUAGAACACCAAUUGCGAAGGCGGCUCACUGGCUCGGUACUGACGCUGAGGAGCGACAGCGUGGGGAGCAAACAGG